Molecule: long non-coding RNA, 428 nt
Organism: Pan paniscus (pygmy chimpanzee)
Lineage: Eukaryota; Metazoa; Chordata; Mammalia; Primates; Hominidae
Source: Ensembl
CCAGCAAAGAGCCACUUGACACCUGGCUGGGGACAAGCACAUAGUUGCCUUUUCCUCUGCCAGGGAGCCUGCCAUGCAGCCACCAAGGGCAGGCAAGGGUGAAAAGGGACGGCUUCCAGGGCCUUUUAUUCUGAAGAAAACCUCCGUGUGGAAGAUGGCUAAUCUUUCUUACAGUGAAGAUUGAAAGCCUUCUGGUUCUCCCAGUCACGACCUAAAUGACACUUCUUCCAGGAAGCCUUCGCUGGCCUGGAUGAAUGGGGAGGUAGAGCUCCCUGUGUGAUGGGCAGCAAAGGACCCAGCUGUUUGACAGUCUCACCCAAGGAGGAACGCAGUACGGAGUCCCCGUCUUCAGGCAGAGCCAACAGUGGAGACGAGCACAUGCUGUCCCGCUGUGCUCACAGCUCCAUGAGCAAUAGCAGGCUCCCAAC